AGUUUAUAAUCCCUUGUUGUUGUUAGAAGGAACGUUUUUAUUCCUUCUGUUGAAGUCUUGAAGUGCAGCAUCUUCGAGCAAGGUUGUUGAGACUUGUGUGAUUCAAGUUCUCAAGUUGUAACGGUUUGUUGAGCACCUGCAAGCUUAACAGGAUUAGUAGAACCUCGAGAUUGUAUCUCGGGAGACUGGACGUAACCACAUUUGUGGCCAACCAGUAUAAAUUCGGUGCACUUCUUCCUUACUCUCUUAUUUCCGCAUUUGAGUUAUUUUUUACUGCAAAUUUUUAUAAAAUGCUAUUCACCCCCCCUCUAGCGUUAAGCACUAAUUCUAACAAUUGGUAUCAGAGCCUAACUCUCUGUAAGACUUAACAGUUUGAGAGAAACUUUU
RNAcentral lists this long non-coding RNA (387 nucleotides) under Nicotiana benthamiana. Its description in RNAcentral is "long non-coding RNA (NBEN_LNC006510)". Lineage: Eukaryota; Viridiplantae; Streptophyta; Magnoliopsida; Solanales; Solanaceae. The record is from RNAcentral.